AAAACAACUCUCGGCAACGGAUAUCUCGGCUCUCGCAUCGAUGAAGAACGUAGCGAAAUGCGAUACUUGGUGUGAAUUGCAGAAUCCCGUGAACCAUCGAGUCUUUGAACGCAAGUUGCGCCCGAAGCCUUCUGGCCGAGGGCACGUCUGCCUGGGCGUCACGC
This 164-nucleotide ribosomal RNA is filed under the name Suaeda fruticosa. RNAcentral's name for it is "5.8S ribosomal RNA". It matches the Rfam family "5.8S ribosomal RNA". From Rfam's summary of the family: 5.8S ribosomal RNA (5.8S rRNA) is a component of the large subunit of the eukaryotic ribosome. It is transcribed by RNA polymerase I as part of the 45S precursor that also contains 18S and 28S rRNA. Functionally, it is thought that 5.8S rRNA may be involved in ribosome translocation. Lineage: Eukaryota; Viridiplantae; Streptophyta; Magnoliopsida; Caryophyllales; Amaranthaceae. The record is from RNAcentral.